AGAGUUUGAUCCUGGCUCAGAACGAACGCUGGCGGCAGGCUUAACACAUGCAAGUCGAACGUGAAGCAGGAGCUUGCUCCUGUGGAAAGUGGCAGACGGGUGAGUAACGCGUGGGAAUUUACCCAGUGGUUCGGAAUAACGCAUGGAAACGUGUGCUAAUACCGGAUACGCCCUCCGGGGGAAAGAUUUAUCGCCAUUGGAUGAGCCCGCGUCGGAUUAGCUAGUUGGUGAGGUAAUGGCUCACCAAGGCGACGAUCCGUAGCUGGUCUGAGAGGAUGAUCAGCCACACUGGGACUGAGACACGGCCCAGACUCCUACGGGAGGCAGCAGUGGGGAAUAUUGCGCAAUGGGGGAAACCCUGACGCAACCAUGCCGCGUGAGUGAAGAAGGCCUUAGGGUUGUAAAACUCUUUCAGUGGUGAAGAUAAUGACGGUAGCCACAGAAGAAGCCCCGGCCAACUCCGUGCCAGCAGCCGCGGUAAUACGGAGGGGGCUAGCGUUGUUCGGAAAUACUGGGCGUAAAGCGCGCGUAAGCGGGCUGGGUAAUUGGGGGUGAAAUCCCCAGGCUCAACCUGGGAACUGCCCUCUAUACUGCCCGUCCUGGAUUCCAAAGAGAGAAACCGAAUUUCCUACGUUAAAGGGGAAAUCCUUAAUAUUUGGAAGAACACCCUUUGGCGAAAGGGGGGUUCUUGGUUCGAUA
RNAcentral lists this ribosomal RNA (699 nucleotides) under uncultured bacterium. RNAcentral's name for it is "bacterial SSU rRNA". It matches the Rfam family "Bacterial small subunit ribosomal RNA", at positions 8 to 739 of the family's 1533-position model. The record is from RNAcentral.